Molecule: transfer RNA, 73 nt
Filed under: Trichonephila inaurata madagascariensis
Lineage: Eukaryota; Metazoa; Arthropoda; Arachnida; Araneae; Nephilidae
Rfam family: tRNA
About the family: Transfer RNA (tRNA) molecules are approximately 80 nucleotides in length. Their secondary structure includes four short double-helical elements and three loops (D, anti-codon, and T loops).
Source: Rfam by way of RNAcentral
GUCCCUGUAGCGCAAAGGAUAGCGCGUUGGACUUCUAAUCCAAAAGUCAUGGGCCCGAAUCCCUCCUGGGACG